AAUUGGAGGGCAAGUCUGGUGCCAGCAGCCGCGGUAAUCCCAGCUCCAAUAGCGUAUAUUAAAGUUGUUGCAGUUAAAAAGCUCGUAGUUGAAUUUCGGGAUUGACGUGAUGGUCGUGCCUUAAGGGGUAUGAACUGUCGCAGUUGAUUUCUCACCUUCUGGAGAAGCAUGAUGUCCUUAAUUGGGUGUCAUGUGGAACCAGGACCUUUACCUUGAAAAAAUUAGAGUGUUUAAAGCAGGCAUUUUGCUCGAAUACAUUAGCAUGGAAUAAUAGAAUAGGACGGCAUGGUUCUAUUUUGUUGGUUUCUAGGAUCACCGUAAUGAUUAAUAGGGAUAGUUGGGGGCAUUAGUAUUCAAUUGUCAGAGGUGAAAUUCUUGGAUUUAUUGAAGACUAACUACUGCGAAAGCAUUUGCCAAGGAUGUUUUCAUUAAUCAAGAACGAAAGUUAGGGGAUCGAAGACGAUCAGAUACCGUCGUAGUCUUAACCAUAAACUAUGCCGACUAGGAAUCAGACGAUGUUAAUUUUUUAAUGACUCGUUUGGCACCUUACGGGAAACCAAAGUGU
This 565-nucleotide ribosomal RNA is filed under the name uncultured Glomus. Its description in RNAcentral is "SSU rRNA". It matches the Rfam family "Eukaryotic small subunit ribosomal RNA", at positions 546 to 1106 of the family's 1831-position model. Lineage: Eukaryota; Fungi; Glomeromycota; Glomeromycetes; Glomerales; Glomeraceae. The record is from RNAcentral.